GCACACUUAAUUUUCUCUUAUAUAGAAGAGAGUUUCAGAAAAUUUCAACAUGUCUGCUUGGUGGUCAUUCAAUUGACAAAUAAGAAUAUUUUUGUCAUUCCAAGCAUUGUAUGUGUAUGUGUGGUGCAUUCUCAAUAUUGCUCCACCUAAUUUUUAUUGCCACCGCAUUACAGGUGGCUUUCAUGCACCUCUUUUCAUCCUUUUCCUUGGCAAUAGAAUUUCAAGCUUCAUCUUUGUGCUUCGUGUUCCUGCAAUUUCCAGGACCGCACUCUUUCAUCUUCGAGCUUCUCCAAGUAUAUACUGACUUUUCAUCUUCAAUCUUCUCCAACUAUUGCUGCAAUUUUGAGUUUGAAUAUGAGAAGAAUCCAAAAUGCAUGAUAAAUACUCAAAGAACCAUUAAAAAGCAGAAACAAAUCAAUCACAAAAAAAAUAAAAUGAACCACCGAAACAAGGAGUGCAUUUCAUGUGCAAGUCCAAGUCGUACAUACCCCACUGAUUUAUCCGAGGCAGCACCAGCAAUUACUUCUUUUGCACCAUCCUGUGUUGCAGAGGUGCAAGCAUCUUCACAGGAUGAUGUCGAGAUGGCCCUCCUAAAUUAACAGGAAAAUUUUCUAGCGAAGACAGAGAUUUGCGUAUGAAAGAGGAAGACAUGUAGGCAAUUACGGUGAAGUUGAGUAGAAAAUAUUAUACUUUGUUUACCUGAGAAGUGAGUUCCUCAUAUGAAAUAUGCUUUCGGAGAAACAUAAUGAGAGAGAUUGAAUUUUCUCUAUGUUCAGCAAUUGCGAAUGGUCUGCUAUGGCUUGGUAUGUGGCGUCACAAUGAUUUUUUUUCUAGAAUUCUAAGGUCUUGAAGAAAUAGGAAGAUACUUGAUCUUGGGUUAUUUAUCUAUAUGAUUAUCCGUGAGGUGACAUGUGAUUCUUCAAAGUCUUGAGGAUGAACAAGUAUGACUUGGAACAAGCAGUAGCUGGAGGAGUAGGGUUUCAACAACAAAGAGAUGAAUGAGGAGUUGCUCAAGAAGAAUAACGGCAACAUUAGAUCAUGAUAUAUUACAAACCCUUAAGUUUAUAAAGAGUUGACUUAGUUUUUUGGAUUAUCUUUCAGUUUAACGCAGGAAAAAAGGAAGAGAAAAAUUCUUAUCCCCAUCAGCUUGAAUUUAUUUCAUAUCUGUGAUGCUCUUUGAGUUAUUAUCUACUAUGAAUUGUUCCAAAAAUCUGCAAUGUUGUUGUAAAACAUUGUGUCUAAAUUUUGUUAUUUGGAUGGUAAGAAGUUCACUUUAUUUGUAGUUUCGGAAGUAUGGAAUUAAGAGGGACACUCUUUUUUCUUUUUUUUUUACAAGGGUAAGAAGUUUGAAUUGGUGUAACAAAAAUCUAAUCUUUAGGUUUCUCAUUCUUCCA
Molecule: long non-coding RNA, 1394 nt
Organism: Solanum tuberosum (potato)
Lineage: Eukaryota; Viridiplantae; Streptophyta; Magnoliopsida; Solanales; Solanaceae
Exons: 5
Source: RefSeq, a predicted model, not a curated record